UUUCAUAAACAACCAGGAUGUUGGCUCAGAAGCAGCCACCAUUUAAAGAGUGCGUAAUAGCUCACUGGUCGAGAGACCCUGCGCCGAAGAUUCCCGGGGCUAAAGUACGAAACCGAAGCUGUGGCUGUAUACGUAAAGUAUACGGGGUAGGGGAGCGUUCCCAUAGGGUAGAAGUCGAACUGGAAGGUUCGGUGGACUUGUGGGAAGUGAGAAUGUUGGUAUGAGUAGCGAAAAGAAAGGUGAGAAUCCUUUCCACCGAAAGCAUAAGGAUUCCUGAGCAACGAUCGUCGUCUCAGGGUAAGUCGGGACCUAAUCCGAGGCAGAGAGCGUAGGAGAUGGACAACUGGUUGAUAUUCCAGUACCGGUAGUAAUUGUUUGAGCAAUGGAGUGACACAGAAGGGCAGGCAAGCAUGCGAAUGGAAGAGCAUGUGUAAGCGUGUAGGGUGGUGCAUAGGCAAAUCCGUGCACUGAAAGCCUGAGGCGUGAUGCGGAGUGAGCAGAGAUGCGAGCGAAGUUGUUGACCCCACACUGUCGAGAAAAGCUUCUAGUGAGAGAGCUACCGCCCGUACCGUAAACCGACACAGGUAUGCGGGGAGAGAAUCCUAAGGUGCGCGGGAGAACCCUCGUUAAGGAACUCGGCAAAAUGUACCCGUAACUUCGGGAUAAGGGUAGCCACUGUUGUGAAGUCCCAUGCGGAUGGAGCAUAGAGUGGUCGCAGAGAAGAGGCCCAAGCGACUGUUUACCAUAAACACAGGUGCCUGCUAAAGCGAAAGCUGACGUAUAGGUGCUGACACCUGCCCAGUGCCGGAAGGUUAAGGAAGGAUGUUCGGAGUAAUCCAAAGCAUUCGACUGAAGCCCCGGUGAACGGCGGCCGUAACUAUAACGGUCCUAAGGUAGCGAAAUUCCUUGUCGGGUAAGUUCCGACCCGCACGAAAGGUGUAACGACUUGGGCACUGUCUCAACGAGGGACCCGGUGAAAUUGAAGUACCUGUGAAGAUGCAGGUUACCCGCGACUGGACAGAAAGACCCCAUGGAGCUUUACUGCAACCUGACAUUGAUGUUCGGUAAAUAACGUACAGGAUAGGUGGGAGACGGAGAAGUAUUGGCGUUAGCUGAUAUGGAGUCAACCUUGGGAUACCACCCUUUAUUUAUUGGACCUCUAACUGAAGAAGUAACGACUCUCAGGACAGUAUCAGGCGGGCAGUUUGACUGGGGCGGUCGCCUCCCAAAAUGUAACGGAGGCGCCCAAAGGUUCCCUCAGCGCGAACGGAAACCGCGCAAAGAGUGUAAAGGCAGAAGGGAGCUUGACUGCGAGUCAGACACGACGAGCAGGUACGAAAGUAGGGCUUAGUGAUCCGGUGGUUCCGAGUGGAAGGGCCAUCGCUCAACGGAUAAAAGCUACCCUGGGGAUAACAGGCUAAUCUCUCCCAAGAGUCCAUAUCGACGGGGAGGUUUGGCACCUCGAUGUCGGCUCAUCACAUCCUGGGGCUGGAGCAGGUCCCAAGGGUUGGGCUGUUCGCCCAUUAAAGUGGUACGUGAGCUGGGUUCAGAACGUCGUGAGACAGUUCGGUCCAUAUCCAUCGCGGGCGUAAGAGACUUGAAGGGGGCUGCUCCUAGUACGAGAGGACCGGAGUGGACGGACCAAUGGUGUACCAAUUAUCCCGCCAGGGGUACAGUUGGGUAGCUACGUCCGGAAAAGAUAAACGCUGAAAGCAUCUAAGCGUGAAACUUGCCUUAAGAUGAGGUCUCCCGAAGCGAAAGCUUGAAAGACACCUUGAAGAUGACGAGGUUGAUAGGCCAGGAGUAGAAGUUCAGUAAUGAAUGUAGCGUACUGGUACUAAUAUGUCGAGAGCUUAACUUA
RNAcentral lists this ribosomal RNA (1861 nucleotides) under human gut metagenome. Its description in RNAcentral is "bacterial LSU rRNA". It matches the Rfam family "Bacterial large subunit ribosomal RNA", at positions 1081 to 2925 of the family's 2925-position model. The record is from RNAcentral.